CCUACGGGAGGCUGCAGUGAGGAAUAUUGGUCAAUGGGCUUACGCCUGAACCAGCCAAGUCGCGUGAGUGAAGAAGUAUUUCGGUAUGUAAAGCUCUAUCAGCAGGGAAGAAGCAAGACGGUACCUGACUAAGAAGCGCCGGCUAACUACGUUCCAGCAGCCGCGGUAAUACGUAGGGGGCAAGCGUUAUCCGGAUUUACUGGGUGUAAAGGGAGCGUAGACGGUAUGGCAAGUCUGAAGUGAAAGCCCAGGGCUUAACCCUGGGACUGCUUUGGAAACUGUUAGACUAGAGUGCUGGAGAGGUAAGUGGAAUUCCUAGUGUAGCGGUGAAAUGCGUAGAUAUUAGGAGGAACACCAGUGGCGAAGGCGGCUUACUGGACAGUAACUGACGUUGAGGCUCGAAAGCGUGGGGAGCAAACAGGAUUAGAUACCCCAGUAGUC
RNAcentral lists this ribosomal RNA (441 nucleotides) under uncultured bacterium. RNAcentral's name for it is "partial 16S ribosomal RNA". It matches the Rfam family "Bacterial small subunit ribosomal RNA", at positions 338 to 795 of the family's 1533-position model. The record is from RNAcentral.